GCAGCUGAGGGGGAGCCACCUGACUUUAUGGCUCAUUAUAAUCCAUUUUAAUCCACCCGAUUCCUUUGACUCUGCCUUCUAGAUGCAUUAACUACCUUCUGCGUUAUUUUUUAAUGCUCUUGAUGUCUCAGUAAUCAAGCUACUCCUUCUGCCACUAGGGUGACCACCCAUCCCUAAUUGGGUGGGACAGCCCAGAAUGGGAUCAUCAUAGUCCCGGCACCAGGCUGCAUGACUCUAAGACACUGUUUGUCCCAGAUCUGCAGCAGUGUGUAAGGAUCCAGGUUGCUCCUUGCAGCUUGGCAAUGUUCCAGCUUGCAAGGGGCUGCUGGGAGCCGGAUGCAGGGGGCACCACACACCUGUGCACACCUGCACAUGGACAGGAAACAGCCAGGCAGUGUGAGGAGCAACUCUCUGCAGGAAUUGGGACCCCUGCUCAGAACACUCCUGAAGAAAGCCCGAAGAGAUCCUGUCAUCGGUCCAAGAUCCUGUCUUGACAUCAGACGUGGGAGCCAGGAGCUCCAGACAAGAUUUCAAGGCCUGAUCAACCAGUAAAGUUGUAUUUACAGUAUUUCAGGGUGGUGAGCAUCUGCGUUGACUAGCUACAAACCUAACAUUUUUAACUGCUACUGCUACUCCAAUUUUAAUUAGAAUUGUAUCUGUUAGGGUUCAAUAAACUUGCUUUUAGUUUAGGA
This is a long non-coding RNA of Gavialis gangeticus (Gharial), 692 nucleotides long. RefSeq lists it as uncharacterized. The record is from RefSeq and is a predicted model, not a curated record. NCBI's taxonomy places the organism in Eukaryota, Metazoa, Chordata, Crocodylia, Gavialidae. The transcript is spliced from 3 exons.